AUUGCAGUCAUUGCUUGAUAGAUUCCGCGGGCAGUCCGACAUUUUUGGAUGUUGAAAAUCGGGAAAUUAGCCAGUGACUAGCCAUGCAGUUUUCAAAACUAGUGGGAAUUAAUGCUGUUUUAUUAUUAUGGCUUGUUUAUGUCGACUGUCAAAGGGAAAUUACUUACAGGGUACCUGUUUAUGUUGAGAAUGCACGGGAUGGGAGAAUCCGAACAUAUGUUUAUGGCAUUUUAUUUGCCGUCAUUGCUGGUAAUGCAAUUUUAGGGAGACGUUCUACCGGGCAACCUUUCAACGUCGUGCAUGGUGGUGGUGGGGAUGACAAUGGUGCUCCUGUACCGACACCAU
Long non-coding RNA from Ruditapes philippinarum (Manila clam), 345 nucleotides. RefSeq lists it as uncharacterized. The record is from RefSeq and is a predicted model, not a curated record. The transcript is spliced from 3 exons. Lineage: Eukaryota; Metazoa; Mollusca; Bivalvia; Venerida; Veneridae.